GAUGAACGCUAGCGGCAGGCUUAACACAUGCAAGUCGAGGGGCAGCACGGAAGUGGUAACACUUUUGGUGGCGACCGGCGGACGGGUGCGUAACGCGUAUGCAACCUACAGACAACUUGGGGAUAACGGAUGGAAACGUCCACUAAUACCUGAUAAUAUCAUUGGAGGCAUCUUCGGUGGUUGAAAGAAUAUUGGUUGUUGAUGGGCAUGCGUAACAUUAGUUAGUUGGUGGGGUAACGGCUCACCAAGGCUACGAUGUUUAGGGGGACUGAGAGGUUAACCCCCCACACUGGAACUGAGACACGGUCCAGACUCCUACGGGAGGCAGCAGUGAGGAAUAUUGGUCAAUGGGCGAAAGCCUGAACCAGCCAUGCCGCGUGCAGGAAGACGGCUCUAUGAGUUGUAAACUGCUUUUAUACGAGGGUAAUUGCGCGCACGUGUGCGUGUUUGAAAGUAUCGUAUGAAUAAGGAUCGGCUAACUCCGUGCCAGCCGCCGCGGUAA
This 502-nucleotide ribosomal RNA is filed under the name uncultured bacterium. Its description in RNAcentral is "partial 16S ribosomal RNA". It matches the Rfam family "Bacterial small subunit ribosomal RNA", at positions 28 to 523 of the family's 1533-position model. The record is from RNAcentral.